RNAcentral lists this long non-coding RNA (313 nucleotides) under Homo sapiens (human). RNAcentral describes it as "HSALNT0118198". Lineage: Eukaryota; Metazoa; Chordata; Mammalia; Primates; Hominidae. The record is from RNAcentral.
CCGGGGGUUCAGAACAGUCAGUGUCUGGGAGGCCGUAGGUGUGGGGACAUUCUCAGCCACUUCAUUCACUCAUUUAUUCGUUCGUUCAUCCCACAACUACUUGGUGAGCCCCUCCUGUGGACCAAGUGCUUUUCAAGGCACCGGGGACACAGUGGCGACAAAACGGCGCUCCCCGUGCUGUGGGACUGACUGUCCAGAUGUGGAGGCAGCCCAGGCCGGGCACAGUGGCUCGUACCUGCAAUCCCAGCACUUUGGAAGGGCAAAGCGGGUGGAUCACUUGAGCCCAGGAGUUAAAGACCAGCCUGGGCAACAC